This 253-nucleotide ribosomal RNA is filed under the name uncultured bacterium. RNAcentral describes it as "partial 16S ribosomal RNA". It matches the Rfam family "Bacterial small subunit ribosomal RNA", at positions 524 to 776 of the family's 1533-position model. The record is from RNAcentral.
UACGAAGGGUGCAAGCGUUACUCGGAAUUACUGGGCGUAAAGCGUGCGUAGGUGGUUUGUUAAGUCUGUUGUGAAAGCCCCGGGCUCAACCUGGGAAUGGCAAUGGAUACUGGCAAGCUAGAGUGCGGUAGAGGGUAGUGGAAUUCCCGGUGUAGCGGUGAAAUGCGUAGAGAUCGGGAGGAACACCAGUGGCGAAGGCGGCUAUCUGGGUAUGUAUUGACGCUGAGACGCGAAAGCGUGGGGAGCAAACAGG